RNAcentral lists this ribosomal RNA (539 nucleotides) under uncultured bacterium. Its description in RNAcentral is "bacterial SSU rRNA". It matches the Rfam family "Bacterial small subunit ribosomal RNA", at positions 777 to 1317 of the family's 1533-position model. The record is from RNAcentral.
AAUAGAUACCCGGGUAGUCCACGCCGUAAACGAUGUCGACUUGGAGGUUGUUCCCUUGAGGAGUGGCUUCCGGAGCUAACGCGUUAAGUCGACCGCCUGGGGAGUACGGCCGCAAGGUUAAAACUCAAAUGAAUUGACGGGGGCCCGCACAAGCGGUGGAGCAUGUGGUUUAAUUCGAUGCAACGCGAAGAACCUUACCUACUCUUGACAUCCAGAGAACUUUCCAGAGAUGGAUUGGUGCCUUCGGGAACUCUGAGACAGGUGCUGCAUGGCUGUCGUCAGCUCGUGUUGUGAAUGUUGGGUUAAGUCCCGCAACGAGCGCAACCCUUAUCCUUUGUUGCCAGCGGUCCGGCCGGGAACUCAAAGGAGACUGCCAGUGAUAAACUGGAGGAAGGUGGGGAUGACGUCAAGUCAUCAUGGCCCUUACGAGUAGGGCUACACACGUGCUACAAUGGCGUAUACAAAGAGAAGCGACCUCGCGAGAGCAAGCGGACCUCAUAAAGUACGUCGUAGUCCGGAUUGGAGUCUGCAACUCGACU